CAAAACUGCAAGGAAAAAAUAGAGAAAGGAGAAUUUCUGGAUGCAUACAUCCAAGUUUAGGGCCAGUACACUUUGGUGACAGAACCCCAGAAGAGAUUUAAAAUCACAAAAUAUGCAGCAAAGUAAGACUUUUAAAAUACUGUAUGUACAGUGGUACCUCGGGUUAAGUAUUUAAUUCGUUGCAGAGGUUUGUUCUUAACCUGAAACUGUUCUUAACCUGAAGCACCAAUUUAGCUAAUGGGGGCUCCUGCUGUUGGCGUGCCGCUGGAGCACGAUUUCUGUUCUCAACCUGAAGCAAAGUUCUUAACCCAAGGUAAUAUCUCUGGGUUAGCGGAGUUUGUAACCUGAAGCGUAUGUAACCUGAAGCAUAUGUAACCUGAGGUACCACUGUAAUUCCAAGUUCCUUCUAGUGUUUUUCACUUCCCCUAGCAUAAGAAGAUCUCACAUUUGGUAAGUUAAAAAUGGUUGUUUACAAACUCUCCAAAGGUCAGAUUCAUGUGUUUUUCCAUAUAGCAUUCAGAAAAAAGUGGCACAGGUAGUAAAACUUGACUUAGCAUUUGGGAAUGCCAUUUCCAGAGGAGAUAUAAACUUUCAAUGACUGAGUUUUGUUGUGGGGUGUAACUAACACUUCUCAUGUGUCUUAUUCCUUCCUCCCUCAGGCAGAUUUUCACGUGGUGUGAGAUAAACUCACCUCUGUUAUAGAGGACCAAUGCUGCAGGAGUACCGGUAAGUGGGAAGGUGGCGGCAACAACUACUGGAGUGUAGUUGGCAGCAUUGUGGGGUUGUGCCCAUCCACCACCCCCGCUUUGGCAGGAAGCUGCCUCUCCCAGACACAAUAGUUCUGCUUCCUGAGGGUUCUUCUGCAAGCACAAGUGCCGGCUCAUCCAACUCCCCAAGCUGGGCGGCAGGGCUGGCUGGAGGGGGAAACAAACACUCCGGGAUCAAAUCAGAAGCCAGGGUGGAUUCUGUAAUUCCGGGACUGUCCUGGGAAAAUAGGGGCACUUGAAAGGUAUGUAACCCUAACCCCGGCACUAACUCUAACUCUGGCCAGGCCCAUACAAAGGCCCUGGGUGGCUGGGAGGUGCAGGGCAUUCCUGGCAUGACAGCAGAAGUCCAGCCGGCCACUUGCAGGGUCCCCAGCUUGCUUAGCCCUCUCAGACCUGGGGCAAGUGUAUUUGGCAGCCCCCCACCCACGCAUGGGCCUGACUCUGGCCCUAACCCUUAUCAUAAACUUAACCUCAGCCCUAAUCCUAGUCCUAAACAUACCUCCGACUCUAACCCCAACCCUUAUCUGAACCUCAAGCUUAGUCCUAACCCACUCCUUAACCUCAAACCAAAUGUAACCCUAACCACAAAUAACACUAACAGUAACCAGAACCCUAACACUAAUGCUAACCCCAACCCAAUCUCAUUGCAGUUCUCAGCAGUACAAACGGUCUCCUCCAGCUUUUGCUGAUUCCUUCCUUUGUUCUUUGCCGCCUGCUCCUGCUUUCUAGCCCACUCCAAUCUUUUCUCUUCAGUUUCCUUGAUAUUCACUCCCCUUCCUGCUGCCUCUCUCCUUGGAGAAGUGCAGCUGGAUUGGGAAGGCUUUUGGAAGGGAAACUCUGGGAAACAAAGUUUGGAGUUCCAAAUCAAUGCCUGUGUCCAUAACCUGUUAGCAGACCCUGCAGCUUGGGUGAAUUAGAUUGGAAUAAUCACUUCUAGUUUCUGGCAUUCAAAGGCUUUAUUCAUGCAGAAACUAUUUUCUGGAGAGGUAUGCACUUGAGGAUGAAUUUCUAAAAGAAGAGAGGGAAGUGGCUUGAUGAGCAGGGGAAGAGGUUGUUUCUUUCAGGCCAGGGAGGCAGGUUCCAAGUCUGAGAGUGUACAUUUUGAGGCGCAUUGGUGGAGGUGCUCCACCCAUGUUUGGUGAGAGAGUGGGUGCAAUCUGCAUACGUUGCCUCCAUAGGCUUUGGCCAGACGCCUAUCCUUCCUCUGCCUGUGCCUUUCUCAGCACCAGCCCCUUUCCCUCUUCAUUCUUAAGCAGGGAGCCUCAGAAUGCAGACGCCAGACCCUGCAGCCUCUUGUGCCUGAGUGGGUGGGAAAUGGCAGUGUGGGAGUAAAGAGAUAGCUGUUUUCAAUUAGACUUCUUUUCUCCAGCUAGAGACAGAAAUCGAGGAAACCUGAUCCCUGGUUCUUUCUAACCAGUCAGCUCCGAGGAAGAAAGAGGCAGCUGGGUGGGAGAACAAUUCCUGUCAUUAGUACAUGCUGAUAUUUUUCUUUUUGGCCCACCUAGAGAUCUCCAUCAUCCAUUCUGUGCCCCUCGACCAUUUUUUUCUGGUGCCUCCACUAGAUGACCACCUACAGCCAG
This is a non-coding RNA of Podarcis lilfordi (Lilford's wall lizard), 2347 nucleotides long. The record is from the annotation of a GenBank genome assembly. NCBI's taxonomy places the organism in Eukaryota, Metazoa, Chordata, Lepidosauria, Squamata, Lacertidae.